RNAcentral lists this transfer RNA (70 nucleotides) under Camelus bactrianus (Bactrian camel). It matches the Rfam family "tRNA". From Rfam's summary of the family: Transfer RNA (tRNA) molecules are approximately 80 nucleotides in length. Their secondary structure includes four short double-helical elements and three loops (D, anti-codon, and T loops). Lineage: Eukaryota; Metazoa; Chordata; Mammalia; Artiodactyla; Camelidae. The record is from Rfam by way of RNAcentral. RNAcentral also lists the same sequence under 2 other names.
GGGUACAGCUCAGUAGUAGAGCACAUGCUUAGCAUGCAUGAGGUCCUGGGUUCAAUCCCCAGUACCUCCA